GUUUAUUUCACCCAGGUGCAGGUGGGCUGAGUCCGAAAAAGGAGUCAGUAAAGGGUGGUGGGAUUAUCAUUAGUUCUUACAGGUUUGGGAUAGGCGAACAAAGUACCUUCUUAAGGGUACUUUGAAUAUUACAAAGUACCUUCUUAAGGGUACUUUGAAUAUUACAAAGUACCUUCUUAAGGGUACUUUGAAUAUUACAAAGUACCUUCUUAAGGGUACUUUGAAUAUUACAAAGUACCUUCUUAAGGGUACUUUGAAUAUUACAAAGUGGUACUUUGAAUAUUACAAAGUACCUUCUUAAGGGCAGGGGAGAAUAUAUUGUGUCAGUUAGGGUGGGGCAGGAACAAAUCACAAUGGUGGAAUGUCAUCAGUUAAGACUAUUUUCACUUCUUUUGUGGAUCUUCAGUUGCUUCAGGCCAUCUGGAUGUAUACAUGCAGGUCACAGGGAAAAUGAUGGCUUAGCUUGGGCUCAGAGGCCUGACAACAGGGAGUAAUGGGGCUUAUGGGAACAGAGAAAGGCAUCUAGUCCUCCCCACUGGGCUCUGCAUAGGUUGGUGAGAUAGGAUUUUAGAAGGGGGCCACUAAAGAUUCCUAGGUACCUGCCGGGCAUGGUGGCUCAUGCCUGUAAUCCCAGCACAUUGGGAGGCCAAGGCAGGCAGAUCACCUGAGGUCAGGAGUUUAAGACCAGCCUGGCCAACGUGGCGAAACCCUGUCUCUACUAAAAAUACAAAAAUUAGCCGGGAAUGCCCGAAAGAUUCCUAGGUAACUGGUCCAGUACUUUUCAAACUUGACAGAGGACAUGAGCGCCUAGGGAUCUUGUUAAGCUGCAGACUGACUCAGCCCGUGUACGGUGGGGCUUAAAUUCUGCAUUUAUUUAUUUAUUUAUUUAUUUAUUUUUAUUUUUAAUUUUUUUUUUGAGAUGGAGUCUCCCUCUUGCUCUGUCGCCAGGCUGGAGUGCAGUGGCGCAAUCUCGUCUCACUGCAACCUCUGCCUCCCAGGUUCAAGCGAUUCUCCUGCCUCAGCCUCCUAAGUAGCUGAGACUACAGGUCUGUGUCACCAUGCCCAGCUAAUUUUUAUAUUUUUAGUAGAGAUGGAGUUUCUCCAUGUUGGCCAGGAUGGUCUUGAUCUCUUGACCUCGUGAUCCUGCCCGCCUCGGCCUGCCAAAGUGCUGGGAUUACAGGCGUGAGUCACCAUGCCUGGCCUGCAUUUUUUUUUUUAAGAGACAGGGUCUUGCUCUCUGGCCCAGGCUGGAAUGCAGUGGCACCAUCAUAGCUCACUGCAGCCUCCAACUCCUGGGCUCAAGUGAACCUCCUGCCUCAGCCUCCUGAGUAGCUGGGACUACAGGUAUGUACCACCAUACCCAGCUAGUUUUCCUUUUUAAUUUUUUUUUCCUUUUUUAUAUCUUGUUGCAUAUCAACAUUUUUUAUUUUUAGUAGAGACAAGGUCGUGCUAUGUUGCUCAGGUGUUCUCAAACUCCUUGCCUCAAGAGAUCCUCCCCUCAGCCUCCCAAAGCUCUGGGAUUGCAGGCUUGAGCCACUGGAGCUGGCCUGAGACUCUGCAUUUCUAACAAGCUCCCAGGUGAUGCCAAAGAUGCUGGUCUCUGGCCCAUGCUUGGAGGUGGGAGGGACUAGUCUCUCAUUUUGAAGAUGGAGAAACUAAGACUGAGAGAAGGAGGCAACCUGCCUAAGUCACAGGGCUGCUAAGUGAUAGAUCUGGAUCUAGAAAUCAAGUCCCAGGGGCUUUUGUUUCAUUGUAGUGGCUGAGCGCCUUGACUUGAGUGUUACCCUCGGGGUAAGUCCCCAGGGACACCACCUUUCUCCUUCCUCGGCUGCAUAUAUUGGGGCAGAGGCCCUUUGCCACGACUCCCCCCACCACACGCUGUGAACCAGCUUCAGCUCUUUAGCUGGCCGCCUCAACAGCCCAGUGCCUCCCCUGGGCCAUCCAAUCCCAUGUGGGGUGGGCCUGGAACUUCCCCUCGAGCUCAGAACAGUUCCACCCCCUGCAGCUUCACUCCCACUUCACAGACUCAAACUCCCUCCCAAGGGUGCAGGGAGGAUCUGCAGUCCUGGUCUUUGCAGUCCUCUCUGUCUCUGGGCCACCACCAAGUGGGAUCUCCAGGGUCCUCAGGAGCACUCCUCCUGCCAGCGGGUACAAGCUUCUCUGACCUGAGAGCAGCACUUUGACCUCACCCUCAACACUCCACCUCUCUGUCACCCAAGAGGAGUAGCUUCUCCCAGCAGGCUCCGCUCCUCCCAUCGUUUCGUGCUCAACGGCAAGGUAAAAGAGACCUCAUUUUCAAAACUGGGACCCAGAGCCACACAUGCAGAGAACGGAGGAGCUAGGAUUCCAGUGCCUGGCUGGGCCCAUACUCUCUGCUCAGCUGCCCACAUUGACAUCAGCGGGAGACAGGCACAGACUUCUGCCCACACGUGCUGGUCUCACCACUGACCAAGACCCAAUCAGCUACAAUGAGGAGAGCCUUGAUGCAGGGGUGCGGCAUCAGAAAAGGAAAGCUCCCGGUUCACCCCAGAGUUGCCUUAGAGCGAUGGUACCCAGCUCCUGGGGCCUGGCAAGGGGGACAUAGGUUUGCUCUCGUAUCCUGGAUUCAAGCAGUGCUUUCCAGGGCAGUGGCAGCCCCAGCCCUUUGCUGCUAAUUUUCAGGGCUGGAGGCCAGGAAGGAAAACCCCAGCAGCUCUGUCUUGCCUCCCUGCUGCUCCACAGUCCCUCCACUGGUAUGUACCCUUGGCCCCAUAAAUUCUACUGACUGCAUCACUGUUGGGAUUGGCAGUGGCUGCACAGGUCUGUGGAGACUGGGUGAUCCACUUACUCCCAAGAUGGUUGGCUGUCCCCGGAAAAAGAGCUUCUCUCUGCUGGGGUGGGCAUUGCCCAGGGUCUCAGCCUACCAGGAUGGCUCCUCUGGGCUCUGCCAUGGCACCCCUGAGUUUUCAGAAGGAGGGAGCCUCACUAAUUGCUGCUGCCCUGUCAGCUGGCUUCAGAAGGCAGGUGGGCUGUGGGCUGGGCUGCCUCAUGUCUCCUGGAGGGAGCUGGAGCCUGGGUCUUGCUUUUGACAUUUCAGACACCUGCAGCACACACAACUGGGGUCCCAGGAUGAGGAAGAACAUUCACAGGCAGAUCCCCAUUUCCUGGGUCUCAGUUUUCCCAUCUGAAAAGUGAAGCUACGUCACCAGGAGGAGUGAUUGGUAAAACAUGAAUUGUGUGUAAUUCUUAGCAGCUAAAAGCAAAGGUCAGGAUGUCCACAGAGAGCAACGUGGUGGCUCUUAGACACAGGCUGAGAGGGGGAAAAAAAGAACCAAAAUGAGACAAAACAAUACCAUACACACAAGUUAAAUAUGUGUACACUAAUAUCCUGUAACACAACAUGCAUUAAAACGUGCUGAAGUUGUUACCUGGGGCUGGAAGGCUGUGGGGAAUGGAGGUAAAAGGGAGUUAAUGAGACAGAGGUAAGGGAAGAAGUUUGGACCUGGUGACAACCACUACAACCUCAUGCUUACCAGCAUGCAUUUAUAAUGUGGUAAGCCCAAUCUCCAUUUCACUCUUAUGCAAACUGAGGACCAGAGAGGUUAAGUAACUUGCUUGGAUGACACGGUUAAUAAAUAGUGGAGCUGGGAUCUAAAUCCAAGACAGCUGGCUAGAAAACCUGGGUUUUUUUCCUGCUUUACGAUACAUCCCCACUUAUCUCCCAGGCCAUUCCCUUCUAGUCCGCCAGGCUAGUUAAUAACACCACCAACUCCACAGCCUACACCUGUCUGUAUGGCUUGUUACCACUUACCUGGAGUCUUCACACAUGGUCCUGUGCUUAAUUACUAAGCCUCCUGUGUGAUGAGGCCUGGGAGCAACCCUCCAGUUGGCUCAGGUCAGACAGACUGUAAAUAGUCGGGCCUAUAUUGGAACCCAUGGCUUCUGACUCCUGUCCAGUGUUCAUCCCACUGCCUCCCUAAGCAAAAGUGAGAGACAUUAAAAGAAAAAUAAAAAGCAACACAAAAACAAAAAACCGAAAACAUGCCUCCAAUUCUAAGCAAACCCAGGAACAGAGAGCUGGGAGGUCCCUGGGAUCCUAAGGCCUGAAGCUCUUGACCUUCACCUGGUCAUGGGGCUCUCUGUCCAGCAGCCUGGACACAUCUUCACCUCUCCUGAUAUCACUCCUUCUCUGCCUCAACCUGUGCUCUCACUGCCCUCCAAACAUGCUUCACUGAGGUCAUUGCUGAGCCUUUGCACAAGGCGUGUCUAUGCCCUGCAACCCAUUCCUUUUCCUUCUUUCUCC
This 4282-nucleotide long non-coding RNA is filed under the name Homo sapiens (human). RNAcentral's name for it is "HSALNT0175726". The record is from RNAcentral. Lineage: Eukaryota; Metazoa; Chordata; Mammalia; Primates; Hominidae.